CCUACGGGUGGCUGCAGUAGGGAAUCUUCCACAAUGGGCGAAAGCCUGAUGGAGCAACGCCGCGUGGGUGAAGAAGGUCUUCGGAUCGUAAAACCCUGUUCGUAGAGAAGAAAGUGCGUGAGAGUAAAUGUUCACGUUUCGACGGUACCUAACCAGAAAGCCACGGCUAACUACGUGCCAGCAGCCGCGGUAAUACGUAGGUGGCAAGCGUUAUCCGGAUUUAUUGGGCGUAAAGGGAACGCAGGGGGUCUUUUAAGUCGGAUGUGAAAGCCCUCGGCUGAACCGGGGGAUGGCAUUGGAAACUGGGAGACUAGAGUACAGAAGAGGGGAGGGGAACUCCAGGUGUAGCGGUGAAAUGCGUAGAUAUAUGGAGGAACACCAGUGGCGAAGGCGGCUCUCUGGACAGUAACUGACGCUGAGGUUCGAAAGCGUGGGUAGCAAACAGGAUUAGAUACCCGUGUAGUC
This 465-nucleotide ribosomal RNA is filed under the name uncultured bacterium. Its description in RNAcentral is "partial 16S ribosomal RNA". It matches the Rfam family "Bacterial small subunit ribosomal RNA", at positions 338 to 795 of the family's 1533-position model. The record is from RNAcentral.